GACGGUGACGCAUAGCCAUUCCCGCCACCUGGACUCGGUGGUGCCGGCAUUGCAGGACUCUGGUGCCCUUUGCCGUAUUGCCUGUGGCUGUGGUGCCUGCCGCUCCUCGCUUCGCAGAAGCCGACGGCAGAGCUCAGAGCGAGCAAGACGACGAGCAGCACCACGGCGAGGCCUUUGCUCAUCUUUGUGCCUGCAGCUUGCAUCGAUCUGUAUCCUAUUCUUAGAUGAUGGCAGUGCCAAGGAAGGGGAUAGAGUGACAGAGUAUGUAUGUGUUAGCUUUGAGCCUGAGGAGGGGUUUAUAUAAGCAGCUCCAUCCAUGGAUAUGGAUGCUUCUUCGAGGCUGGAGCAGAGAAUGGUGGGUGCCACCCUAAGUCACGUGCAUGCUGGGGCGGCAUAUGAAUCAUGGAUGUAUGGAUGAACUGCAACCUCGCAACUACACAUAGUUUUUUUUUUUAUCAUGCGUUGUGCUCUUUGUUCUUUUCGUGAGAAUUGGUUGGAGGAAUUGCCUGCCCUCCAUUAUCCAGCAAGAAAUAUGCCAGAUCGAUGAUGUGGCCUACCUGUGCUAAUUGCUCACGGGGCAGGAAGGUGGCAUCCGAUCCUUUGUACCCAUUCGUGCCACCUGGCACUAGUUUAGUCAUAGUGCAAAGACAAGAUAUUGCAUGCAUACAUGAUGAUUGAAUCUAA
This is a long non-coding RNA of Hordeum vulgare subsp. vulgare (domesticated barley), 684 nucleotides long. RefSeq lists it as uncharacterized. The transcript is spliced from 2 exons. NCBI's taxonomy places the organism in Eukaryota, Viridiplantae, Streptophyta, Magnoliopsida, Poales, Poaceae. The record is from RefSeq and is a predicted model, not a curated record.